Colius striatus (speckled mousebird) is the source of this 2279-nucleotide long non-coding RNA. RefSeq lists it as uncharacterized. Lineage: Eukaryota; Metazoa; Chordata; Aves; Coliiformes; Coliidae. The transcript has 4 exons. The record is from RefSeq and is a predicted model, not a curated record.
GCAAUGUGCCUGGGCUGGCAGGUGGCCAGGUCAUCACUGCCACUUCUGUGCUGCUGAGCUGGACUUACUGGAGCUCCAGUGUGAACUCCAAAGGGACCACUGCCUGUGGAUGAGUCUGUGUGGGACAUCCUGAAGCAUCCAUAGCCAUGAAUAUGUUCACACCAAAGCAGCUCGAAACAUUCAGCAGUGUGAAGAAGAGGCUGCAGCACCAGAAAAGUACUGCAGCACCACUACUCUAGAGAACAUCCACAGAGGAAUGUGGCCAUGGCAGGAAGGGAUGAUUCUGCAGAUGGACUGAACUGCACUUCUCAAAAGCUUUAUAUUGUCCUUCCAAUCUGAGCCCCUCUCAUGUCUGAUUUGAGGCAAACCAAAUGUGUCUCACAUUGCAAUAUACCACCAGCACAGAUUAAGCUAUGAGUGAGGGCUGUAAAUGAUAUGACCACAUUGAGAAUCACGUUGGAAACCUUCCUUCCCAAAGGCUCUUAAAGGGAACAAAGACUGUAAACCAGAUUCCUAUGUUUCAAGGCCCCAGAUGGCAUUUUCCAACACAUAUGCAUCCAGUGGAAAAGCUCCUGACUGCUUAUCUGUGGGAUUUCAGAACACUCAACAACCUCCAGCAGUCAAACUUCAAACUGCAAAGUAUAAAUCAGAAAACUACUAGACAGAGAAGCACUGAUGUUCUGCUCCAUCAAACACAAUUUGAAAUGCAGCAGCCUAACUGGUUUUAUGACAUAUGGCCAAACCACAGCUGUUCUGACCUACACAGAGGAAAAUGCAAGAAAUCAAUAAAAUGUCCAGUGGAGAUAGUUUUAAUGAGGAAUGGAUCUGUCAUGUGUGACACUUUGUAACCUCACUGAGCAAUAUAAAAAAAAUUCAUUAAUGAAUCAGUACUAUACCAGUCUACUGGAACCAUAUAUCCCCAGGGGUAAUUAAGCUUCUGUGAAGGUCAACAACAAAUGGCACUGUCUUUUGUGAAUGUCUUUUUGGAGUGGGCACAUGAUGUCCUGCCAGACAGAUCCUCAUGCUGGCACUCCACUGUACCAGGAAGCACACUACAGAAACAGAUUUCUUCUGUCUUUCAGAGGCUUGGGUUACUUUUUGAUCAAAUGGGUCUCCUUGGUUUUUUUACAGUACACAAGCAAAAACACACUUAUAAUUUCAGGACAAUGAUUCAGCAAGACAAUUUCUCUGCAACUUACCCUUUUGUAAAACAUGUGGAUCUCCGGCAGGAGGGAUUAACGAUGUCUAACAAGAAAGCGUAGCGCAGCAAGGACUUUGGUGGUAAGAAGAAAUGACUCAUUUCUUCAUUUUCCUCUUCUAAGAAAUCUUUUAGCAUUUGAAUAGAGGAAUCAUUGUCCUGACCAAGCUUCCUUUCCAUUUCUUCUACUGUUUCAAGCUUAAAAAGAAAAGCUCCUUUUGGUAAAAUCUCGCCGCUGCAAUCGGGAUCAAUGUUUGGAUCCAGGUUCUUCUCCUCAGAGGAGGAGGAAGAACUAACUUCACCCACUUUGUCAGCAACUUUGUUCUCGACUAAGUGUUCAAGAUCCUGAUCUGGGAAUCUUGUCAAAAUCUAGGAACAAUUUGUGAGGAAAAAAAACGAUCACAACACAUUGGAUAAACAACUGGACAGAAGACUCUGCAGUGAGAAAGAACUCCUUCAGAGAUGCUCAGAAGUAAUCAGCAAGUGACUACUCAAUGUUAUUUGCAUGGAAAUUAAAAAUAAAAGUAAGAUUUGCUGACCUGCCAGCAGUGAUGUCAGCAACAACUGCAAAUAACUGCAGGACACAGCAUUUCCUAGUCCACUAUCAGCCACUAUCCCCUAAUGGUUUAAAGCCAUUUAAGCCACUGGGGUGCACUGCAUAGAAUGGUGGACUCAGUUGGAAAAGACUUUCAAGUUCAAGUCCAACCACUAACCCCACACUGCCAAGCCCAUCACUAAACUACAUCCCUCAGCACCUCAUCUAUGCAUCGUUUGAAUAUUUCCAAGGAUGGUGGCUCCACUCCCUCCCUGGGCAGCCCAUUCCAAUGCUUAACAACCCUCUUAGUGAAAAAGUUCUUCCUAAUGUCCAAUCUAAACCUCCCCUGGCACAACCUGAACUCAUUUCCUCUGGUCCUAUCAUCCAUUAAUAAACAGAUCGAUCCUCACCUCACUACAACCUCCUUUCAGACAGUUGUAGAGAGUGAUCGUAUCUCCUCUCAGCCUCCUGUUCUCUAGGCUAAACAAUACUAGUUCCCUCAGCUGCUCCUCACAGGACAUGUUCCCCAGACCCUUCAUCAGCCUG